Non-coding RNA from Potamilus streckersoni, 73 nucleotides. The record is from the annotation of a GenBank genome assembly. NCBI's taxonomy places the organism in Eukaryota, Metazoa, Mollusca, Bivalvia, Unionida, Unionidae.
GCUCCGGUAGAUUAGUGGUUAGAUAGUCCACCUCGGAUGCGGGAGGUCGCGGGUUCGAACCUCCGUCGAGUCA